UGGGUCUCGCUGAUGUGUCUGAGUCACUCUGCGUGGGUGUAACGCUGCUCUGGUUGUUAUUAAUCUCUCUGAAGCCUCUUUGCAGUGAUUAAGGGAGCACUGUAUGAAAGCAGUCUGCUGCGUGGGCUCUCACCAAGAAAGACCCACUAAGUGGAUUUUGCCAGAUCCUUUAGCCAAACUGCUCUUUUCUUGGCAACUGCAGCGUGCAUCAACAUAAAUGUAAAGUCAAUUUCUAGUGUAUUUUUAAUGUCCUUUAUUCAUGUUUUUUGGACACGGCACAAACCACUAAAAUGAAAGCACAGUACUUAAUGUAGCCAGUCACUUUUCUGAUGUGCCAGUGUGUAUAAAUAAGCCUGAGCAGGAGACAAGAAUUCACAGUUAAAAGACAGAAAGAACAAGCAUGCAUGUUCUUACUGGUGAUUGUCUUUGAGUGAAGAAGGGAUUUCAGUGGUCCUCUUGUGAGGGACGAGCAAGGAGUGGAGCUGGACCCCCAGUUGGCAUCCAUAACAGCCCAACAAGUGGCCAGGGAUCUGCUCUGCUAAGGCAGCUUUUUUCCAAGCUGACUGCUAAGGACUGGGUUUCUGGGGAGCAGAAGAGCUGCGCUCUCACCAAGUUUGCUGUGGAGAUGAGAUCAUAUGGAAGUGGCCAGCAGAAACAUAGAAGAGAGCAUGAGAUCUACUAUGCCCAGAAGGCCUCUGAAACCUCCGAAAUUUCUUCUCUCUGUAAGGCCAGCAAGUUCAUCCUUAAGAAGGCAGAGAAGAAUGCCCAGAUGGGAGAUAUACUCAGAAGUGACCAGUUUGGAUGUAAAGUGUAAUCAUUUAUGAUGAGAGGACAUGAUUUCCACCUAGGAUGCCAGUCUCUUACAGAAGGUAUACUUCAUAAUUAUGCAAGUGACAGACUGAAAGCUCCUAAAUGGGUUUCACUAGCAGAGCAGUUACAGCCAUACUUUGC
Molecule: long non-coding RNA, 951 nt
Organism: Gallus gallus (chicken)
Lineage: Eukaryota; Metazoa; Chordata; Aves; Galliformes; Phasianidae
Source: Ensembl